UCCUGUGUGGCUCAGUUGUUAGAGCAUGGCGCUUGCAAAGCCAGAGUCGUGGGUUCGAUUCCCAGUAUGAAAA
Molecule: transfer RNA, 73 nt
Filed under: Salmo salar (Atlantic salmon)
Lineage: Eukaryota; Metazoa; Chordata; Actinopteri; Salmoniformes; Salmonidae
Rfam family: tRNA
About the family: Transfer RNA (tRNA) molecules are approximately 80 nucleotides in length. Their secondary structure includes four short double-helical elements and three loops (D, anti-codon, and T loops).
Source: Rfam by way of RNAcentral